This 332-nucleotide RNase P RNA is filed under the name Aequorivita lutea. RNAcentral describes it as "Aequorivita sp. q18 RNase P RNA component class A". It matches the Rfam family "Bacterial RNase P class A". Rfam says of the family: Ribonuclease P (RNase P) is a ubiquitous endoribonuclease, found in archaea, bacteria and eukarya as well as chloroplasts and mitochondria. Its best characterised activity is the generation of mature 5'-ends of tRNAs by cleaving the 5'-leader elements of precursor-tRNAs. Lineage: Bacteria; Pseudomonadati; Bacteroidota; Flavobacteriia; Flavobacteriales; Flavobacteriaceae. The record is from RNAcentral.
GCAGCAGGCCGCCCUAUCGCUGCCGAUCCCGAUCUAUCGGGAUUCGGGAGAGGAAAGUCCGGACACCAAAGGGAAGCAUAGCGGCUAACGGCCGUCGUCCCGAACACGUUUCGGGAAAGGACCAGUGCAACAGAAAGAAUGUACAGGUAAUGCUGUAGUGAAAUCAGGUAAACUCUAUGCGGUGAAAUGCCACGUAAACCUGCGCUCGAGGGUUCCCGCCCAAUGCAGGAGGGUAGGCAGAUAGAGCGUUUUCGGCAACGGAACGCCUAGAUAAAUGAUGGGGAUCUUUCUAUGGAAGGAUACAGAAUCCGGCUUAUAGGCCUGCUUUUUUA